Molecule: small RNA, 140 nt
Filed under: Desulforamulus aeronauticus
Lineage: Bacteria; Bacillati; Bacillota; Clostridia; Eubacteriales; Peptococcaceae
Description: Desulfotomaculum aeronauticum c-di-AMP sequence
Rfam family: c-di-AMP riboswitch aptamer (ydaO/yuaA leader)
About the family: This family represents a conserved RNA structure found upstream of the ydaO and yuaA genes in Bacillus subtilis and related genes in other bacteria.
Source: RNAcentral
CAAUUACAUUUGCUUAAUUUCCAGAAUGAAUUACUGGAAAGCGGGGGAACCACUUUUUUGGGGCGAAUCAGUGCAAUGCACAGUAGGGAACCAUCUUCCGAGUCCGUCAGCUAACCUCGUCAGCACAGAUGGGUCAAUUA